CCUACGGGGGACAGCAGUAGGGAAUAUUGCUCAAUGGGGGAAACCCUGAAGCAGCAACGCCGCGUGGAGGAUGAAGGUUUUCGGAUUGUAAACUCCUUUUGUUAGAGAAGAUAAUGACGGUAUCUAACGAAUAAGCACCGGCUAACUCCGUGCCAGCAGCCGCGGGAAUACGGAGGGGGCAAGCGUUACUCGGAAUCACUGGGCGUAAAGAGCGCGUAGGCGGGAUAGCAAGUCAGAUGUGAAAUCCUAUGGCUUAACCAUAGAACUGCAUUUGAAACUGUUAUUCUAGAGUAUGGGAGAGGUAGGUGGAAUUCUUGGUGUAGGGGUAAAAUCCGUAGAGAUCAAGAGGAAUACUCAUUGCGAAGGCGACCUGCUAGAACAUAACUGACGCUGAUGCGCGAAAGCGUGGGGAGCAAACAGGAUUAGAUACCCCUGUAGUC
Molecule: ribosomal RNA, 440 nt
Filed under: uncultured bacterium
Lineage: Bacteria
Description: partial 16S ribosomal RNA
Rfam family: Bacterial small subunit ribosomal RNA
Source: RNAcentral